ACUCCUACGGGAGGCAGCAGCCGCGGUAAUGCGCGAAAGCGUGACGCAGCGACGCCGCGUGGGGGAUGAAGGCCCUCGGGUUGUAAACCACUGUCGGGAGGGGCGAAUACCCGGCUUCGAAUAGGAGACCGGGGGUGACGGUACCUCCAAAGGAAGCACCGGCUAACUCUGUGCCAGCAGCCGCGGUAAUA
Molecule: ribosomal RNA, 191 nt
Filed under: uncultured bacterium
Lineage: Bacteria
Description: partial 16S ribosomal RNA
Rfam family: Bacterial small subunit ribosomal RNA
Source: RNAcentral